GCUCUCGUCGUUCAACGAAUAGGACGCAGCCCUCCGAAGGCUGUAAUACUGGUUCAACUCCAGCCGAGAGCA
Molecule: transfer RNA, 72 nt
Filed under: Candidatus Kaiserbacteria bacterium
Lineage: Bacteria; Candidatus Kaiseribacteriota
Description: tRNA-Arg
Rfam family: tRNA
About the family: Transfer RNA (tRNA) molecules are approximately 80 nucleotides in length. Their secondary structure includes four short double-helical elements and three loops (D, anti-codon, and T loops).
Source: RNAcentral